CUACAAGGCCUUUACUGACGCUAAAGCUCGAAGGUGCGGGUAUCGAACAGGAUUAGAUACCCUGGUAGUCCGCACGGUAAACGAUGGAUGCCCGCUGUUGGCGAUAUACAGUCAGCGGCCAAGAGAAAUCGUUAAGCAUCCCACCUGGGGAGUACGCCGGCAACGGUGAAACUCAAAGGAAUUGACGGGGGCCCGCACAAGCGGAGGAACAUGUGGUUUAAUUCGAUGAUACGCGAGGAACCUUACCCGGGCUUGAACUGCACAGGAAGGAUACAGAGAUGUUGACGCCCUUCGGGGCCUGUGUGGAGGUGCUGCAUGGUUGUCGUCAGCUCGUGCCGUGAGGUGUCGGCUUAAGUGCCAUAACGAGCGCAACCCUUUUCAUCAGUUGCCAUCAGGUGAUGCUGGGCACUCUGUUGAUACUGCCACCGUAAGGUGUGAGGAAGGUGGGGAUGACGUCAAAUCAGCACGGCCCUUACGUCCGGGGCUACACACGUGUUACAAUGGGGCAUACAGAAGGCGGGAUCAUGGCAACAUGGUUCAAAUCUUUAAAGUGCUCCUCAGUUCGGAUUGGGGUCUGCAACCCGACCCCAUGAAGCUGGA
RNAcentral lists this ribosomal RNA (600 nucleotides) under uncultured bacterium. RNAcentral describes it as "bacterial SSU rRNA". It matches the Rfam family "Bacterial small subunit ribosomal RNA", at positions 726 to 1330 of the family's 1533-position model. The record is from RNAcentral.